RNAcentral lists this ribosomal RNA (328 nucleotides) under uncultured bacterium. Its description in RNAcentral is "bacterial SSU rRNA". It matches the Rfam family "Bacterial small subunit ribosomal RNA", at positions 568 to 898 of the family's 1533-position model. The record is from RNAcentral.
CGUGUAGGCGGUGCGGUAAGUUGGGCGUGAAAUCCCCGAGCUUAACUCGGGUGGGCCGUUCAAGACUGCCGUGUUAGGGUGCGGGAGAGGGAAGUGGAAUUUCCGGUGUAGCGGUGAAAUGCGUAGACAUCGGGAGGAACACCUGCGGCGAAGGCGGCUUCCUGGACCGUAACCGACGCUGAGGCGCGAAAGCUAGGGGAGCAAACAGGAUUAGAUACCCUGGUAGUCCUAGCCCUAAACGAUGAGCACUGGGUGUGGCCCCUCACGAGGCCGUGCCGAAGCUAACGCAUUAAGUGCUCCGCCUGGGGAGUACGGUCGCAAGGCUGAA